GGCGAAUACGUUAUAUUCUUAUGUGAAAUUGAAUAUAGCUGAAUUUUCUUAUUUUGAAGAAUACAUUAGGAUACAAUUAAUGUGUCCUUUUCCCUAUUCUACUUAAUUCGCAAUUCAUGCUGUUUCUCUUUUGCAUAGGAAUGUAUUCGUUUGAUUGUAAAGCUUCUUAGAGGAACGAUGUG
Molecule: ribosomal RNA, 182 nt
Filed under: Plasmodium ovale (malaria parasite P. ovale)
Lineage: Eukaryota; Apicomplexa; Aconoidasida; Haemosporida; Plasmodiidae
Description: partial small subunit ribosomal RNA
Source: RNAcentral